This 49-nucleotide small nucleolar RNA is filed under the name Saccharolobus islandicus HVE10/4. RNAcentral describes it as "Sulfolobus islandicus HVE10/4 non-coding RNA". Lineage: Archaea; Thermoproteati; Thermoproteota; Thermoprotei; Sulfolobales; Sulfolobaceae. RNAcentral also lists the same sequence under 1 other name. The record is from RNAcentral.
AUGAACGCGCCCUUAUCGGAUCUUAUGAAGAAUACCACCGGCACUGAUU